AUAUUCCCCUCCGCAUGCUCCUGGUUUUUGGCGUUUGCCUGGUUUUUUUGUUGGCUGUCGUGUUUGGCCUUUUGCAGCUUUUGCUGCUGUUGCUUCUCCUUUUGGCAUUUCAGCCCCGCCUCCCAUCCACUCAGUCUGACGCCUGUGUCAUUUUGAGUGCAUGUUUGGAGUCGCCUGUCUGUUUUGCCUCUUUGUAACUCCUUCUUUCUUUAGCUAUAUUAUUCUUACCUCUUACCAAAAAAAAAA
RNAcentral lists this long non-coding RNA (246 nucleotides) under Eucalyptus grandis. RNAcentral describes it as "long non-coding RNA (EGRA_LNC007175)". Lineage: Eukaryota; Viridiplantae; Streptophyta; Magnoliopsida; Myrtales; Myrtaceae. The record is from RNAcentral.